This 67-nucleotide small RNA is filed under the name Acididesulfobacillus acetoxydans. Its description in RNAcentral is "Peptococcaceae bacterium INE non-coding RNA". Lineage: Bacteria; Bacillati; Bacillota; Clostridia; Eubacteriales; Peptococcaceae. The record is from RNAcentral.
GUUUCAAUUCCUCAUAGGCAGGCUAUCGGCCAAAGACUUGUCCACCGUAAAUAUCCAGAAGUUAUAG